CUGGCAUUUCCCUGCUGGCACUCAUUCUCUGUCCUGCUGCCCUGUGAAGAGGUGUCUUCCAUCAUGAUUGUAAGUUUCCUGAGGCCUCCCCACCCAUGCGGAACUGUGAGUCAAUUAAGCCUCUUUCCUUUGUAAAUUACCCAGUCUCAAGUAUUUCUUCACAGCAGCGUGAGAACAGACUAAUACAACUUCCAUGCCUUUUCUUGGCCAGAUAGGUCAUUUGUUUUUAGCAUUGAAUAAUAUUCCAUGAUCUGGAUAUACCACAUUUAAUUAUCCAAUCAACUACUAAAGGAUAUAUUGGUUGUUUGCAAGUUUUGGAGAGUGUGCUUGGUUUUGUAAGAAAUGAACAAACUGUUUUUCAAAGUGCACCACUCUGCAUUACCAGCAGCAAUAAAUGAAAGUUCCUGUUGCUCUACAUUCUCACCAGCAUUUGGUACCAUCAUGUUUUGGAUUUUGGCCAUUCUAAUAGUUGUGUAGUGGUAUCUCAUUGUUUUAACUUGCAUUUCCCAAAUUAUAUAUAAUGUUGAAUAUCUUUUCAUAUGCCUACUUGUCAUUGUGUAUCUUCCUUGGUGUAGUGUCUGACAUCUUUGGCCCAAUGCUUAAUCAAGUUGUUAAUUUUCUUAUUGUUGAGUUUUAGGUAUUCUUUGUAUACUUUGGAUAACAGUUCUUCAUCAGCUGUGUCUUCUGCAAAUAUCUUC
RNAcentral lists this long non-coding RNA (698 nucleotides) under Homo sapiens (human). Its description in RNAcentral is "HSALNT0081594". Lineage: Eukaryota; Metazoa; Chordata; Mammalia; Primates; Hominidae. The record is from RNAcentral.